AUGCAAGAGGCCGACCCACAAUCAACGGUUAGCAUAACAAACGACAAAGAAGAAGAAGAAACCAACGAAGAGGAGGAAUCACAAGCACUGCAAGACCAAGAGACAACCCGCGUUGAAAUUGAACCCCAUAGUGAACCUCAAACAAACGAAGGCGUCACAGAACAGGAAGUUUGUGUACAAGAGAUUUCUAGUGCCACAACAUUGCAGAUCACCAUCACGAGUAUAAAGGAGAAAGCCCAAGACAUCCCAGCCGAUGAGAAACUAGAGACUGUUAUACCUGACAAAGAAACAGUCGAUGCAGGCACGAAUAACCCAGUCAUCAACAUAGAGGAAACAAACGAGUACGUUGAUCUCGAAGAUCAAGAAGCAGCACAACCAAAGGAAACUGGAAAACACACAGAACUUCAAACAACAACAUCUGAAGAGGAAGAGGAAGCAAGCGAAAGCACUGGCAUAGACAUUGAACAAGAAAAACAACAGGACAACACGAGACAAGGAGAAACCGUAGUUCCAGCAGUAGACAGUCCUGCAACUCCAGAGAAAGAGGCACAAGAAGCUCAAGAGAGCACCAACAAUCAAGACCAUCAAACACAACCAGAGGAGCCCAAUGAACAACCCGAACAUGUUCUUCAAACGUCAGAGGAGGCCAGUGAGCAAAAGGAGGCCACUGAAGAAGGGCAUCAUGUUCUUCAAACGGCAGACAUCAACGUCACAGAAGACCAAGCCCCAAAAUAUUCACUCACUGAAAAACACGCAGCAGAGACGGCAGCAGCGACAACGACUGAAAAGCUCAACGAAGAACAAGCACAAUAG
This 813-nucleotide ribosomal RNA is filed under the name Triticum aestivum (bread wheat). RNAcentral's name for it is "partial small subunit ribosomal RNA". Lineage: Eukaryota; Viridiplantae; Streptophyta; Magnoliopsida; Poales; Poaceae. The record is from RNAcentral.